AUGCAAGACAUUGUGAUUUUGACCUUGUUGGAUGCUGCACCUAAAGGUGGAUGGAAGAGGAAGUCUUGGGGGCUACCACUCGGACUGGAGAAGCUGGCACGAGGCUCCCUCUUGUGGAUGCAGCAAGGUGAACAGGGCAAGAAAUGGAAAGCGCAUCCAAUCCAGAGGCAGUGAGUAUAGCCUGCUGUGUUUUGUUUUGAAAUUAUUUGAGUUAUUUUUCUUGUACCUCCCAAGCUGCCUGUCACG
This 246-nucleotide long non-coding RNA is filed under the name Cercocebus atys (sooty mangabey). Its description in RNAcentral is "lncRNA (ENSCATG00000045501.1)". Lineage: Eukaryota; Metazoa; Chordata; Mammalia; Primates; Cercopithecidae. The record is from RNAcentral.